GUGAGGAAUAUUGCGCAAUGGAGGCAACUCUGACGCAGCCAUGCCGCGUGCAGGAAGAAGGCGCUACGCGUUGUAAACUGCUUUUAACCGGGAAGAAACCCCAGGACGUGUCCUGGGUUGACGGUACCGGAGGAAUAAGCACCGGCUAACUUCGUGCCAGCAGCCGCGGUAAUACGAAGGGUGCAAGCGUUGUCCGGAUUCAUUGGGUUGAAAGGGUGCGUAGGCGGAGCGUUAAGUCAGUGGUGAAAUCCUGCAGCUUAACUGUGGACUUGCCAUUGAUACUGGCGCUCUUGAGUGCGCUAGAAGUGGGCGGAAUGUGCCGUGUAGCGGUGAAAUGCUUAGAUAUGGCACAGAACACCAAUUGCGAAGGCAGCUCACUAAGGCGAUACUGACGCUGAGGCACGAAAGCGUGGGGAUCGAACAGGAUUAGAAACCCUGUAGUCC
Molecule: ribosomal RNA, 444 nt
Filed under: uncultured bacterium
Lineage: Bacteria
Description: bacterial SSU rRNA
Rfam family: Bacterial small subunit ribosomal RNA
Source: RNAcentral